AACGCACGAGACCUGCGGACCUGCGGAGGGAUCAUUAGUAAAUGGAAAAGGAGUUCUCUCAACCCCUUUCCAAAUCCUGUAUUCACCCCAAGUUCCUAAAAAUUUUUACAAUAAAAAACUUGCAGAAAGACCAUCCACUAACGGAUGGCGUUUAAUGCAAAAAACGAAAACUUUCAACAAUGGAUCUCU
Molecule: unclassified non-coding RNA, 189 nt
Filed under: soil metagenome
Description: partial contains 5.8S ribosomal RNA, internal transcribed spacer 2, and large subunit ribosomal RNA
Source: RNAcentral